Molecule: long non-coding RNA, 339 nt
Filed under: Musa acuminata (dwarf banana)
Lineage: Eukaryota; Viridiplantae; Streptophyta; Magnoliopsida; Zingiberales; Musaceae
Description: long non-coding RNA (MACU_LNC008086)
Source: RNAcentral
AGUCCUGUGCCCUUAAGUCAUUGGCGUCAGUCUCACGGCUUACGGGUUUCCUUGCCUAGCCGGAGGGAGGGAGAGUUCACAGAGCCAGAGUUAGAUGCUAGAUGAGCCUCAUUCAGUUAUUAAAGUCAAGAUGAAAUAGUAUCCACCCGUUCUGUAGUAGUUGCCGCUACGUUGCUUGGCUUCUUUAUUACUUUCGCAGCUCCUACCGCGACACAAUAGUAGUGGUUGUUCGGGAGCAAGAGCUGGAUUAGGUGGAGCAGUUAUUGACUUUCUUUCCCGAGAAGGAUCUGGAUCCGAGGCUGGGCAAAGAGGGAGGUCAACUCUGAGUCCUGUGCUGUG